RNAcentral lists this ribosomal RNA (2892 nucleotides) under Pseudomonas sp. VS40. RNAcentral describes it as "23S ribosomal RNA". It matches the Rfam family "Bacterial large subunit ribosomal RNA". The record is from RNAcentral. Lineage: Bacteria; Pseudomonadati; Pseudomonadota; Gammaproteobacteria; Pseudomonadales; Pseudomonadaceae. RNAcentral also lists the same sequence under 2 other names.
GGUCAAGUGAAGAAGCGCAUACGGUGGAUGCCUUGGCAGUCAGAGGCGAUGAAAGACGUGGUAGCCUGCGAAAAGCUUCGGGGAGUCGGCAAACAGACUUUGAUCCGGAGAUGUCUGAAUGGGGGAACCCAGCCAUCAUAAGAUGGUUAUCUUGUACUGAAUACAUAGGUGCAAGAGGCGAACCAGGGGAACUGAAACAUCUAAGUACCCUGAGGAAAAGAAAUCAACCGAGAUUCCCUUAGUAGUGGCGAGCGAACGGGGACUAGCCCUUAAGUGGCUUUGAGAUUAGCGGAACGCUCUGGAAAGUGCGGCCAUAGUGGGUGAUAGCCCUGUACGCGAAAAUCUCUUAGUCAUGAAAUCGAGUAGGACGGAGCACGAGAAACUUUGUCUGAAUAUGGGGGGACCAUCCUCCAAGGCUAAAUACUACUGACUGACCGAUAGUGAACUAGUACCGUGAGGGAAAGGCGAAAAGAACCCCGGAGAGGGGAGUGAAAUAGAUCCUGAAACCGUAUGCGUACAAGCAGUGGGAGCAGACUUUGUUCUGUGACUGCGUACCUUUUGUAUAAUGGGUCAGCGACUUAUUUUCAGUGGCGAGCUUAACCGAAUAGGGGAGGCGUAGCGAAAGCGAGUCUUAAUAGGGCGUCUAGUCGCUGGGAAUAGACCCGAAACCGGGCGAUCUAUCCAUGGGCAGGUUGAAGGUUGGGUAACACUAACUGGAGGACCGAACCGACUACCGUUGAAAAGUUAGCGGAUGACCUGUGGAUCGGAGUGAAAGGCUAAUCAAGCUCGGAGAUAGCUGGUUCUCCUCGAAAGCUAUUUAGGUAGCGCCUCAUGUAUCACUGUAGGGGGUAGAGCACUGUUUCGGCUAGGGGGUCAUCCCGACUUACCAAACCGAUGCAAACUCCGAAUACCUACAAGUGCCGAGCAUGGGAGACACACGGCGGGUGCUAACGUCCGUCGUGAAAAGGGAAACAACCCAGACCGUCAGCUAAGGUCCCAAAGUUAUGGUUAAGUGGGAAACGAUGUGGGAAGGCUUAGACAGCUAGGAGGUUGGCUUAGAAGCAGCCACCCUUUAAAGAAAGCGUAAUAGCUCACUAGUCGAGUCGGCCUGCGCGGAAGAUGUAACGGGGCUCAAACCAUACACCGAAGCUACGGGUAUCACGUAAGUGAUGCGGUAGAGGAGCGUUCUGUAAGCCUGUGAAGGUGAGUUGAGAAGCUUGCUGGAGGUAUCAGAAGUGCGAAUGCUGACAUGAGUAACGACAAUGGGUGUGAAAAACACCCACGCCGAAAGACCAAGGUUUCCUGCGCAACGUUAAUCGACGCAGGGUUAGUCGGUCCCUAAGGCGAGGCUGAAAAGCGUAGUCGAUGGAAAACAGGUUAAUAUUCCUGUACUUCUGGUUAUUGCGAUGGAGGGACGGAGAAGGCUAGGCCAGCUUGGCGUUGGUUGUCCAAGUUUAAGGUGGUAGGCUGAGAUCUUAGGUAAAUCCGGGAUCUUAAGGCCGAGAGCUGAUGACGAGCUAACUUUUAGUUAGCGAAGUGGUUGAUGCCAUGCUUCCAAGAAAAGCUUCUAAGCUUCAGGUAACCAGGAACCGUACCCCAAACCGACACAGGUGGUUGGGUAGAGAAUACCAAGGCGCUUGAGAGAACUCGGGUGAAGGAACUAGGCAAAAUGGCACCGUAACUUCGGGAGAAGGUGCGCCGGUGAGGGUGAAGGACUUGCUCCGUAAGCUCAUGCCGGUCGAAGAUACCAGGCCGCUGCGACUGUUUAUUAAAAACACAGCACUCUGCAAACACGAAAGUGGACGUAUAGGGUGUGACGCCUGCCCGGUGCCGGAAGGUUAAUUGAUGGGGUUAGCUAACGCGAAGCUCUUGAUCGAAGCCCCGGUAAACGGCGGCCGUAACUAUAACGGUCCUAAGGUAGCGAAAUUCCUUGUCGGGUAAGUUCCGACCUGCACGAAUGGCGUAACGAUGGCGGCGCUGUCUCCACCCGAGACUCAGUGAAAUUGAAAUCGCUGUGAAGAUGCAGUGUAUCCGCGGCUAGACGGAAAGACCCCGUGAACCUUUACUAUAGCUUUGCACUGGACUUUGAAUUUGCUUGUGUAGGAUAGGUGGGAGGCUUUGAAGCGUGGACGCCAGUUCGCGUGGAGCCAUCCUUGAAAUACCACCCUGGCAACUUUGAGGUUCUAACUCAGGUCCGUUAUCCGGAUCGAGGACAGUGUAUGGUGGGUAGUUUGACUGGGGCGGUCUCCUCCUAAAGAGUAACGGAGGAGUACGAAGGUGCGCUCAGACCGGUCGGAAAUCGGUCGUAGAGUAUAAAGGCAAAAGCGCGCUUGACUGCGAGACAGACACGUCGAGCAGGUACGAAAGUAGGUCUUAGUGAUCCGGUGGUUCUGUAUGGAAGGGCCAUCGCUCAACGGAUAAAAGGUACUCCGGGGAUAACAGGCUGAUACCGCCCAAGAGUUCAUAUCGACGGCGGUGUUUGGCACCUCGAUGUCGGCUCAUCACAUCCUGGGGCUGAAGCCGGUCCCAAGGGUAUGGCUGUUCGCCAUUUAAAGUGGUACGCGAGCUGGGUUUAGAACGUCGUGAGACAGUUCGGUCCCUAUCUGCCGUGGACGUUUGAGAUUUGAGAGGGGCUGCUCCUAGUACGAGAGGACCGGAGUGGACGAACCUCUGGUGUUCCGGUUGUCACGCCAGUGGCAUUGCCGGGUAGCUAUGUUCGGAAUAGAUAACCGCUGAAAGCAUCUAAGCGGGAAACUAGCCUCAAGAUGAGAUCUCACUGGAACCUUGAGUUCCCUGAAGGGCCGUCGAAGACUACGACGUUGAUAGGUUGGGUGUGUAAGCGCUGUGAGGCGUUGAGCUAACCAAUACUAAUUGCCCGUGAGGCUUGACCAU